Molecule: long non-coding RNA, 1554 nt
Organism: Equus asinus (donkey)
Lineage: Eukaryota; Metazoa; Chordata; Mammalia; Perissodactyla; Equidae
Source: Ensembl
GGGGGGAGGCCGGUCACUGUCGGAAAAGGGAGAGGGGCGCUGGCAGAUGCGUAACCCUCCACCUGCAGUUUCUUGCCAGUGCUGACUACUGACACCCUGCACCUGGCCUCCCCAGAUACUCAGCAGACAGACCUCGGAGGGAAAGAGCUGCUUGCCUCGGGGCACCGUGGACACUGGACAUUUGACCUGCCAGCAGCAGCCUUGGCCGGGCCUUUGCCCCCAUUACUUCCUCCACAGCCCUCUUCGGAGCUUCUUAGAAACAGGACCCCUUGGCCUUUGUUUUAGGCCCAGCGAAAAGCGGAAAGCUGCCCUGCGCACAGUGAAGCAGAGAUGCUUCCUUGUGCGAGAACCAGGGGCCUGGGAGUAGGCAUGCUUUUUGAUAAACAUCUCUAAAGAUCACAGGGCCCGCCAGUUUCUUUCCGAGAGAGACUGUCAGUUUUCUCCAAAGGAAUACAACACAGCUUGUUUCUGCUGGCGCAGUUCCCAUAGGACCACCUUCAUUGAAUCUUGCAAGGAUGGGCUCUAUACUCUUCCAUCUCGAUGUGGCUUCAGGUUUGCCCUCAGGUAGGCGUAGCGGGAAGUUUACAGACCCGCCAGAUGGAGUUGAAACCAGCUUGAACAAGCAGUUUGAUCUUGGGCAAGUUGUAAAAUGGGACUCACAUACUGUAACUCGGGGAAGAUGACUUGAGGCCUCCCUACAAAGGGCUCCCUAAACAGGAGUUGGACGGGAAACUCCACACCGCCUCUUUAGAUGAAGAUCUUUAAAGAAAGCAAAACCAGCAGUCACAUCUUUCUGCAAGGUGAGAUUUUAACACUGGGGUGCAGUUCCAGGCUGGGGGCUCAGAGGGAUGAAAGGCCCUUAGGAGUGGGCGGAUAAUGGAAUAGGAGAAGGAAGCAUGAGAAAGCUCAGAGUGGAAAACCAGCAGACAAAGGGGAAAACCCAGAGAGCAACAGCAGGAAGCCCCCACUCGUUGUCACUACAGUCCUCAAAGAUCCUCAGGAUGCCUCCCACAAAGCAACAGGAAAGGAAACCACUCAGGCCCCUGGAACUGAGCCUCCCCUUCGAAUCUCUCCCAGCAGGACCUGACUCUGAUUGCUGGCUCUGACUUUGGCUUGUGGGCUGAGGGGCACUUGCCACCCUGGUGAGGAGCCAGGCCCUCCCCCUGCGACCUCUUCACGUAAUUCCAGUUCACCUGUUGUCACUCCUGAUGGAAGCUGCUCUUCGCUGGUGAAAAAGGCCUUUCUGGAAUUGUAGAUUGGAUAAAUUCACUUGGACGGUCCUGUCAUCUCACAAUCAAACUGGCUACUACUCUCCCAAAGCAAGACCCAGCACUAGCCUUUGGCUCUCCUGUAGGGCAAACAGCAGGUCUGUCUAGCAGAGGCGCAGAUCCUGCAUUUGUGCGUCACCAUCAGAAAAGCCCGCUUCACUGACUACGAGAGUUCGGCUAGAUGCUGCUCUGAAGGGACCAACUGUCUCAGAAGCAGAGUGCUGUGGUGGCGAGGGUAGAGAUUGAACAAACUGCUUCUAAAAUUUAGAAAUCCAAGGAAAAACAA